UUUGUCUCUUAAUUGUGUCACACGGUCUGUGUUGUCACAGUCACCCAAAGGAGACUCAGAUUCCUGGGGUGAAAGAUGGCAUCGGUUUUCCCGGAACUUUGGGCGACCGGGGCGAGAUCGACUGAAGUAUCAUUGAUGGAAUCUUCUGAGAGCCACAGGGAGUCCCUGCCCAAUGAGUUCUGGACUGCAUGUGUAGAGCAUGGUAUAUGUUUAUUUAGUGUUGCAGGUUGCUUCUUAGGUGUAGUUAUUGUGUUUUCCAAGUAGAAUAGGAAAAGUCCAGCAGCCGUUUAUGUUGUCAUUUGUAUUGCGUUAUACUGCUCCAUAUCACAUAGCUGUAUAGUUGUAGUCGUAUCGGUCCAUAUCCAAACGUCACGGUGUCGUGUUCUGCGUGGCAGGAACCAUAUAUCUUUGCGCCUUUGCUUGUAGCACUUUUUAUGUCGUGUCACUUGUAUUGCCAUGUAAUGUUCUGUCUGGUAUACUUGUAUAUUUGCAGUUGUAUUGCUCUGUAUGUGAAUGUCAUAGCAUUGUAUUGCUGUGCGUCAGUUAGGAAUUGUAUAGCUUUGUACCUUACAUAGUUUUGCUUUCUGUGUUCUGUCUUUGGUACUGUCUUGUAAUGCUGUGAGGGGUGUGCUCGACCAUGAGGGGC
Long non-coding RNA from Neopelma chrysocephalum (saffron-crested tyrant-manakin), 646 nucleotides. RefSeq lists it as uncharacterized. Lineage: Eukaryota; Metazoa; Chordata; Aves; Passeriformes; Pipridae. The record is from RefSeq and is a predicted model, not a curated record. The transcript is spliced from 2 exons.